This 345-nucleotide long non-coding RNA is filed under the name Mytilus galloprovincialis (Mediterranean mussel). Lineage: Eukaryota; Metazoa; Mollusca; Bivalvia; Mytilida; Mytilidae. The record is from RNAcentral.
UAGAACCAGAGACAAAUAAUACGUGUGCCACUAGUAGAACUAAGGAUGUAUAAUUGUAGUUCUUCAUUAGAACUUAAACGAGGAUAACCAAAAUCCAAGAAUGACAGGUGGAGUAAAACUUGGUCACUCUUCAGGGGCGGAUCCAGGAUUUUGAAAAGGGGGGGCGAAGUUUUUAACUUUCGCCGAGCGGAGCGAGGCGAAAAAUGUUUGGGACCUUUUUUGGUCUAAAAACAUAAAAUAUAAAGUGUAAUAUGCACUUUUUAAACGGGUCCUGGUGUGGGGCAUGUAUAUUUUGUAGUUGCUGUAAAGUGUAAGGGUUGGAUAUUUUCGAUGCUGUAUUCUCCC